RNAcentral lists this ribosomal RNA (308 nucleotides) under uncultured soil bacterium. RNAcentral's name for it is "bacterial SSU rRNA". It matches the Rfam family "Bacterial small subunit ribosomal RNA", at positions 26 to 362 of the family's 1533-position model. The record is from RNAcentral.
AGAACGAACGCUGGCGGCAUGCCUAAUACAUGCAAGUCGAACGAACACUUCGGUGUUAGUGGCGCACGGGUGCGUAACACGUGGGAAUCUGCCCUUGGGUUCGGAAUAACAGUUGGAAACGACUGCUAAUACCGGAUGAUAUCGAAAGAUCAAAGAUUUAUCGCCCAGGGAUGAGCCCGCGUAGGAUUAGCUAGUUGGUGAGGUAAAGGCUCACCAAGGCGACGAUCCUUAGCUGGUCUGAGAGGAUGAUCAGCCACACUGGGACUGAGACACGGCCCAGACUCCUACGGGAGGCAGCAGUAGGGAAU